This 6651-nucleotide long non-coding RNA is filed under the name Homo sapiens (human). Its description in RNAcentral is "HSALNT0314764". Lineage: Eukaryota; Metazoa; Chordata; Mammalia; Primates; Hominidae. The record is from RNAcentral.
GGCCUGUUUGAGCAGGCAUUGCAAAUCUUAAAAACAAUAAGAUGAAUAAUCAUCACUGUUUGAUCACUGCCAUUUAUUGAGUACCUUCUCCAUGGCAGAUGCUAAGAUAAGACCUAACAUGCAUCAUCUCUGAUUUUACAAGUCUUCGAGGUUGCAGCCAUGAAAAUGCCCUGGUCAGCCAUGAUUGACCAUGACAGGGGUACUAGUGCAGGCCUGUUCCUGCUGGACAUGGAACCCCUCUAAUGGCUUAAGGACUCCCACUGGCUGGCAGAAACUUUCUUAGAACAACACUGUAGUCUAAGACUCUUCCUACUGAAUUCUCUUUCCUUCUCCCUCUCCUUUCAUGGGGGUCAGGCCUGCACUGCAGUCUGGGGCUUCCUCUGCCUACUUCAGUUCCUUCCUGAACAUUUUACAGGUGUUUCCCCCAAUAAUUCUCUUAUAUGCCUAAUCCCAUCUUGGUGCCUGCAUCUCGAAGGAACUAACACAGUGGACAGGAGUCCCAUUUUGCAGACAGACACUGGAUCAAUGAUGAAGUUACUUGUGUAAGUCCUACAGCCAACAAAUGUUAAGAGCUGGGGUUGUGUGCAGGUAUGUUUGAUUCCACAAGCCAAGUCUUAGAAGCAUACUAGGCUUCCUCUCUAAUGAUCUAUGCAGGCUUAACUGUGAGGACAGGGAGUGAUGACACAUUUCAGUUUGGCCCCUUUGUUUUGUCGAUGAGAAACCUGAGACCAGUGAGGGAAAGGAUUCGCCCAUGGGUGCCAGUGGGAGGGGUGCACCUGGGCUGUGCACAGCCAUUUCCCUCCUUUGGAGGCUGAGGGAGGAGGUCACAGGGAGGCCUCAGGGUAUGGAGGGAGGUCAGGCUGGGGGGCUUAGUGUCUGACCCACCAGCCUGGCAGGCGGGAAUGUGCCUGUAGAAGCCCACGGCCCUCUUGGGGAGAAGCCAUGAAGUGAGGACUGAGUGCUGCCUGGAGGUGCUGGCUGGGAUGCACAGGGAAGAGCUGUCAGGGUAUGGGUCUAACACUGGAACAGCUGGGGGACAUUCCCUGGAUAUCCCUGCAUUGCCUUGAGGCUCUCCCAUCCCUGUUUGAUCCGUAAGCUCCAAGGAGACAUGUUUCCCAGCCAUAAUGCCUUCUGAUCCCAAUCUCUUCUACUCUUUUCAUUGGCAAGAGUCAUUCUCACCCGGGUUUUCUUAUAUAAUAAUUAUAAACUCAUUCAGGGCCUGUGAGUGAAAAGGCACACAUAUACAUUCAGGUCUAAUAUUCACUGAGCAACCAUCAGCACAAUGGUAUGUGACCUCUUUGAAUGCUGCACUAAUGCUCCACUGUCUAGAAGGAGGCCAGACUGCUCUGGGGACCAGGUGCAGAGGGUGCCCUCAAGUGUCUAGUGUCAGAGAGAGAGGGGCUACUCCACUUUGGCCAGGGUGAACUUGAGUUGGUGAUGACAAACAUCUGCAGCUAGUCUAUUUUUCUAAUCUCACCCUCCAAACAGCCCCAUCUUCUUGCAGGGAGGAUGGGUGAAGGCAUUUUCAAAAAUGGACAUCACAUGUGACAAACAGGCAAAGGACCCUGACAGAGCCACAAAACUGACACGCUCAUGAAAACUCAGACCGCUGACAAUGGUGAGCGCCGACCAAUUCAGCGCCAGGCGUGGAGGCUUCUGGCAAGAGUGGUGGGCUCUGUGCGUCCUGAUGGUGGCAGCAGAGACCAGCUUGGGAGCCACCUGGCUCCUCUGCCCUAGCCCAUUAUGGCCUGAAUCCAAUCAAUUUCAGUUCUCAGCACUUCUGAAAACGUGCGUGGCUUAGAGUGUCUGGCAGGGCUCAGGAGAGAAAAGCAUUUCUCAGCCCCGGGACACAUAUAUGCCUCCAGGCACUGGUUGUGGCUUGCAAUCUGGGAGGGCAGGUGAACGGACACCCUCCCUCCUUGCACAGGCCUGGGAUCUGCCUUACUCAACUCCCACUUCUACCAGGAGCAGAGGAUCACCGCUGCCCAGCACCCCGCCCAUCUGAAUUCUGACUCUGGUGGCUUCAGAGAAGCAAGGUAGGGGCCAGUGCUGGUAUGAAAUGCCAGAUGAGAGGAAACUGAUGCAUGCACUUUACUCCUGACUCAGAGUGCCUGAAAUAUCUGGCAAACUGGCAAAGGAUGAAACCCUUCUUUGAGGUCUGUAGAGUAGCUUUAAGAUAAAUGAAGCCACUGAGAAGGUCCAAAACAAGGGGCCCUUAGACGUGGAAGAGGUCUGCUUUCCUGAUAACUAGAGUGGUGCUGGGCUAUGAAAACAGUCCAAAUAGAUGAGGAUAGUUCCUGAGAGCACAGGGUUCUGAAGCUGGACAAAUAUUCUUCCACCUUAAUGGCCCUCUCACUGGAGCCUUCACAGGGUUAACGAUGGUCCCGCAGGAGUUGGGGCCAUGACUGAGGACAUGGAGCUGAUGUGGAGGCAGUCAGGGCCAAGGCAAGAGCCUCCUUGUGUAUAGUGGAAACGCAAGACAGACAUCAAAGGGAGUGGGGUGUGCGGUUCCCAAGGGGCUACCAGAGUCCACUUUUAUUAAAAGUUUGUGUCUUUCUUUAGAAAGUAAUAUGUUCCAUCUCCAGCACCUGAAGGCUCCUUUCAGGGUGCCAGAAGAAUCCUCAAGGGACAGUCCCAGGCUGUGUCCUUCCUCCUGUCUUGGCUGACAUUUUUAUGCAUGGUUUAGGCAGCCCAUGGGCUUUCCAGCUUUGCAAUAAGAUCUGAUCUAAUUUCAAGCUUAUACAUAACAGAAGGGCUGGGGGAGAAGUAGGAGUUCUUUUAGAAUUGCAAAAUCCAGGUGGGUGUAGCCUGUGGGGUGCAGGCUAUCCAGCUCAAAGAGGGAGGCCCAUAUCUCAGAUUCCCUAAUGCUCGGCACAGUGUCUGGCACACAAUGGGCACACAGGAAAUCCUGCACUGAAUCAAACAGAUUUUGUAUUACCAGAUCUAGGCUGACUCACUGUGUGGUCAGGACCUUGGGUCAAUCACUUCACCUGGUGACUCACUCCCUACCUGUAAGGUGUGGAGGACAGCUGGAGUCACUGUGGCACCUGUGUGUUUAGCAGUGUGUUUGCUUGUUCCUGCUUUUAUGUCUCUGGCUGGUCUAAGAUGGAAUGAUAAAAAAAUAACGGAAUGCACUUUGUAAACGAGAGCAUCCUAGACACAUGUAAAGAUUGGAAAAUUAGAAAGCUGUCUCUACUGUAGUUACUUCUCAGAUAUGACCAACCAUUAUUAAGAAUUCAUUGGCUAAUAGGGCUACAUUUUCUCAUGAUCAUUCUUCUGUUUUAGAAGUGGGCAACUGCAGUUUUAAGAAUAAAUGUGUAAAUGUGUGUUUUCAUGAGAGACAAUAAAGCUGUUUUCAUUAAGAAUGAAAUAUGCAACUUGCAAACACUUUUACUUUUCUUGAAUUGGGUCCUUCAGCAGAAGCAGUUUGCCCAGCCCUGACAUGGAAAGUUUACUUUGCUCAUCAACCUGAAGGAGACCGAAAGCUAUGAGAGGCGGCUCCUGAAAAGAAUCUAGACUCCGGAUAUAAAAAGAUCUUGCAACACAAGGCCAAGUGGAAAUCAUGGUUCGCAUUAAAGGCAUAAACCUCCUGCACUAACAACCCAGAGCAGGAGGAAAAGCUGGGAGACCUGGCUCAGCAGCCUUCCCUGAGGGAAGCCUUCGGGGCUUUGUUCCUCUUGAGAUCAGGGCAAGCCUAUGUAUGACCUGAAGCCAAUACAACCAGCAGAGCUGAUGCCAGUGCUGGCUGCCUGAGUGCUACUAAAGAAAGAGUCCACCAUCGGCUCCCUCUUCCGUAGCCAGACACAGGUGGAAUGCUGUGCUUCCUUUUGGGAGACAAAGCAGAAGCUACCCCAGAGGGGGCAGAUGGGAGACAGGCCCAGGCAAUGCAGCCCUACAAAGAAGACUUGAAGGGCCGGGGCUGAGCAGCUUGGAUGAAGAGAAGGCUGCCUUUCAGAGCUGUUUCAAAUGUUUCAGACGUUGCUAGACAAACUAGAGUUGUAUGGCUUCAGAUGGCACAGCUUAGGGCCAUAGAGUGGGAAUCACAAGAAGGCAAACUUUAGGCCCCCAGGAGAGCUGGACAACAACCUGGAGGGUCAGAGGAGAAUGGGCUGUCCAAGGAGCGGGGAUAUGAGGGUGGGGCAGUGUGGCCAUCCCUGGAAGGGGUAAGGGAGUGGCAGAUGGUAACCAUUUGGGGUGGGGUGUGGCUGAGGAUUCCUGCAAGGCUAUCAGAGAAACUCUAAGAAUCAUAAGAAUCAAAGCUCAAGUACAUGAGGGAAGACAUAAUGAAAUCCCUAAAGUUCUGAGAGGUUGUACCAGAUUCUUUAUGGAGAAUACAGAGAGAAUGCCUCCUGACUCCUCAUUCACAGAGUGCCAGGCAGCAGCAAGGAGAAGCUGGUGGCCUUGGGAGGGCAAAAACUAAGGACAAGGUCCACAAUGCAAUCAGCUCACAUCACCUACGAACAAAUAAAGUGGGGUGGGGGUGGAGAGUUGCUAGAGUUUACGUAACUCUCAAGCCUUAAUUUAGCUGCAAGAACUAGGUUUUUGCCAAAGCUAUAGAACUUCCCACCAGAUGAAAGCUUUAUCUCUUUUUCUUUCUUAGGAGAAGAGAGACAGAAGGAGAGAAGAGGGGCAGGAGGAGAGAAAACACAAGAAAGAGGAUGGAAGAUAAAGAGGAAGGCCAGAGUGAGGCAGGAGAAAGCUGAGCUGGAACCUAACUCCUGUUGAUCUGCUGCAGAGACCCUCUCAUUCCACAAUUGCUCCCGCCAUGGUUUUUGAGACUAUGCAGAAGUUAUUCCAUGAGUUCCAAGCCCAGGUCAUGAAAGAUAACUUGUAAUAAAUCUGGCUACCCUGAAGCUGCCAUGCUUGAGAGACCACACGAGAUGGAGAGAGAUGCUUAGGAGUCCCAGCUGUCCAAGCCUCCAGCUAUGUGAAUCUUCCCAGCAGCAACUGCCAGACAUGUGGUACACCCAAAAUGACUUUGGGGCUACACUUGGAAUUGGCAAGGUUCCAGAAAACAGAGGGACUAUCAUCAGAGACAGCGCACAAAAAGUGGGAGAAAGGUCACCAGCCUCACUCAUGUUUAGGGCUAUUAUGAAUAAAGCUGCUAUGAACACUUGUUUACAAGUUCUUUGUGAGGACACAUGUUUUCAUUUAUCUUGGGAAAAUACCUAGAGAUGGAACUCUGGGACACAUGGUAAUAAAGUAUAUUGGCAUAAUGCAAGAGUCAAGAUGCAGAAAAUAACUACUGUGUGAUGUCUCUCUCCCAGCUUUAACCCGCCUGAAGGGCAGCACUGAGUUCAACACACUGUCCCACAAUUGUUGCACUCUCACACUGAAGUGAACAGAUUCUUUCUCCGUGCCGUGCAGCUCCCGGCAGAGGAUGAGGGAAGGGUACCAUCGGUGAUUCAGCACUGUGUUUCCUAUCCUCUUCAAUGACUCUUUCAGCGAUAUGAAGGUAAAACCAGUUAGGUGAAUGGAGCACAUGGCUAUGCUUUGUUUUAAAUGAAAGUCUUUGUCAUCCAGCGGAGGACUUUAAUUCAUUUACAUUUAUUGACAUAAAUGUUGACUUGAAAGCGUGUGUCAGAUCCCUUCACUAUAUCUUCAGACCUGCCCCAAGGAGUGAGGAAGGGCAACACCAAGAACUUCUCUCCAAGGACCAUAACCUGCGAACCCCAUCUCACCUCCUCCUGCCAGAUGGACACAGUCAUUGUCCUCCUGGCUGAUCCCAUGUCCAUGUCUUGCUCUGGCUACUUUCAUACACCCAUAAUGACAUUUUCCAUCUACUCAAUUUUUUAAAAGCUCAGCUCGAACCUCACGGAUUUUCCUGACAAUCUGCUUCUCUCAAUGGCCUUAAUUUAAGUGAGGGUUGUCAGUCUUACUGGGUCUCGUUUUUUGUCUUAAAUAAUAACUAUUUAUGGGUAUCAAGUGUCUCCUCAAUUUGGCUAUGAUCCUUCACGGCAGAAAUACUGUCUUAUCUUGUGAUCAUGGAGUCACAAGAUUUCAUGGCUAGGAAUAUUCGUCAAAUUAAUCCUAGAUUGAGGAUCAGGUAGUAUGUGGUCUGAUUCUAACUCAACAACUUGCAGAAACUCACUUCUUUUUUCUUUUUUUUUCCCCAGGAGGAGCUAUCGUAUUAACUGACGAAACUCACUUCAUUUCUUUGGACCUGCAAAAUGAGGAUGGGCUCUAAACCACCUCUAAAGUUAAUAUUCUAUGAUUCCAUGAUAAGGCUAUUUGUCAUUUAUAAAAAAAGGAACUUCCACAUAGCCCAGAGAAAGGAAAUGACUUUUUCAAGUUUACAGAGUCAAUUAAUGGACGAAAUGUAAUUUGAAAUUCAAUCUCCUGAUCCCCAGUCUAUUGGGAGUUCUUUCAGAAUGUCCCUUGACUGUCCCUCAAAGUGCCAGCAUGUAUGAAACCUUGUUAAGGAUGUAUGCUCAAUGAAAAUACACAAAUUGACUUAACAAGAAACUAAACUCUCCAGAAAGAUGCAGUUGACCCAAAACUCUGAAUAUCUUUUAUGUUUAAAACUUUCUUUUUUGAACAAAAUUGUACAGUUACUUCUCUAUUUCAACUCUUAAGCCUUUUAUGCCACGUCAAAGGUUAGCUCUCUUUUCUCUCUGUUAAUAAAGUCUUAUUCUUGACUUUGGAACUGUA